Flavobacteriaceae bacterium TMED212 is the source of this 55-nucleotide non-coding RNA. The record is from Rfam. NCBI's taxonomy places the organism in Bacteria, Pseudomonadati, Bacteroidota, Flavobacteriia, Flavobacteriales, Flavobacteriaceae.
UAUAUUUGCAGACUCAUUCAUAAUACAUAAAAAUUAUUAAAAAAAUAUUGGCAUG